UAUCAAUACCGACAGAAGCUGCACCUCGAUCUUUCUUUGGGCUCGUUUUUCUCUCCGGUAGCAACAGAUUAUAUGAUUCUGGUCAGUACCUUUCAUGGGAAAAUAGUCCAACAAGAAGAGCUGUUUGAUAGCAGGGGAUGCUGGACAAUGUAAUUCUUAUCCUUUCUUUGGACUGCUCUUCAUCUCUCUGAGUUUACCUGUAUGCAGGUUAAUAAAUAAGAUACAGAUGCAGCCUGCAUAUGUUCAUAUUCUUAGCAGGCUGCUGUUCAAUAAUUAUAUACUCCAUCUGUUUUGAUUUGGGGUAUUAUAGCAGAUAUGGUGGUCUUUGUUAUUUUGCUUGAGUUGUUGCGCCGUUGGUUUUAGCCGCUUUUCAUCUGCAGUCUUGUUUCUAAUACUGCAUUCAUGGAAUGAUGGCUUAACGGAAUGGUGAGUGUUCAAAUUCUUAACAGGCUGCUGUUUUCGCUUGCAACUGACAGUACGAUAUUACCAGAGGCAGUGGUCAUUGUUUGAGUUGUUUAUCUGAUGGUUUAGUAGCUUUUCAUUCUUUUUUUUUGGGUUUUGUUUUACCAGCACCAUUCUCGUUACUAUCACGGAAUUGUCGUUUUUAUUUUCUGUCUGUGUCCUAUGGUAUUGAUCAACUGGAGGUCAUGAACACAUGUUUUGCCAAUGAGUAUUCCAGUACUGUGAAAGGCCUUCAAAGUCAAAUGCAAUGAUUUCUGCAAUUCCGUACAGAAUUCUGCUA
Molecule: long non-coding RNA, 742 nt
Organism: Rhododendron vialii
Lineage: Eukaryota; Viridiplantae; Streptophyta; Magnoliopsida; Ericales; Ericaceae
Exons: 2
Source: RefSeq, a predicted model, not a curated record